This 251-nucleotide ribosomal RNA is filed under the name uncultured bacterium. RNAcentral describes it as "partial 16S ribosomal RNA". It matches the Rfam family "Bacterial small subunit ribosomal RNA", at positions 88 to 334 of the family's 1533-position model. The record is from RNAcentral.
CUGGCGACCGGCAAACGGGUGCGGAACACGUACGCAACUUACCCUGAACUGGGGGAUAGCCCGGGGAAACCCGGAUUAAUACCCCGUACCAUAAUUGAGUGGCAUCAUUUAAUUAUUAUAGCCUUUACGGGCGGUUUGGGAUGGGCGUGCGGCUGAUUAGGUAGUUGGUGUGGGUAACGGCCCACCAAGCCUGCGAUCAGUAACUGGUGUGAGAGCACGACCAGUCACACGGGCACUGAGACACGGGCCCG